This 1563-nucleotide long non-coding RNA is filed under the name Heterocephalus glaber (naked mole-rat). RNAcentral's name for it is "lncRNA (ENSHGLG00100051542.1)". Lineage: Eukaryota; Metazoa; Chordata; Mammalia; Rodentia; Bathyergidae. The record is from RNAcentral.
GUGAUUCUCACCUGUGGAUGGGUGGAGAUCCCGGCGGGAGUAAAGAGCUCCUGGCUGAUCCCAACAACUUCGUGGCUUGGAAGGAGCCAGUGGUUUGGGGUGAAGCGCUAACCGGCCUGUGUCACUGUAGUGUCCAGUGAGGUGAAGGCUCAUUUCCGGCCCGAGGGGGCUGGGAUAGAGGGUUGGCGCCCCCAGCAACACCCCUCGAGCUGGGCCCUGCUGUGGCGAGAAUGGGCAGGGAGAGGAGGCUCUGGAGUGAGAAACGGGACGCACAGCAAACAAUUCAGAAUCAGCCACUUGUUGAGAAAAUUUGCUUUGUGCGCUACACCUGAAACUUUCCUCAGUUCAUUUGAUUCCCUGAGGACAGGCAGGGAAUGGAGUUGUUUUUCUUUCUAUUUUUGAGACAGGGUCUCACUGUGUACUCCAUGCUGGUCUUGAACUCACUAUGUAGCCCAGGCUAGUCUCAAACUAGCAGCGAUCCUCCCGCCUCAGCCUCCCGAGUGCUGGGUUUACAGGCGGGUGUCAUCAUGCCCGGCUGGAGUUGUUUUUCUGGCUUCACAGAUGUGGAAAUAAACAGAGCUAGUCAGUGUUAAUGUUCAGACCUGACCCAGGACUCCUCACUCCAAAUUAUGCUUAUUAGUAGCAUUUCCCCUCUGUACCAACUCGGAAGCAAACGCCCACCCUCCCUCUGACACCCUGCAUUCUGGGGCCAAGUCUGAUGUUCUUGGUUUCCUCCCCAGCACACACAACCUGAAGGUUGGUUCAAUAUGGAGGAGAGGCUGGUGUGCUGCUGCAGUCCUGGUCCUUUAUCUCUCAGGAGCCUAAUGGAAUGAAGUGGGAGUUUUUACAGGUGCUCAGCUGCACUGUUUCUGGACUGUUUAUUGCUCUUUGCUGUUAGCAGUGUCCCUCUUUGCACACCCGUGGCCUGGCUUUGCAUGCUUUCUUCUGAGGGACACACCAAGCUUCCAGCUGCCUCGCCCCGGACCCCCAGAGCUGAGGCUCCCUCUGCAGUUUGAACCAGCAGAAAUGGUUAUGUAGUCCAGCCUGGCCUUGAACUCUCUGUGUAACCCAGGCUGGCCUCAAACUCAAGGUCAUCCUCCUGCCACAGCCUCCCAAGUGCUGGGAUUACAGUGUGGAUGGGAGGAGCAGCAGAGUGUGUGGCCUCAUGAGAGAUGUGAGAGCUAGGGACACCCCAGUGCCUGGAGGUCGUGUGGAGUCACAUCUCGGGUGUCUCAGGUAGGAGGAACAGCAUGAACAAAAGCAUGGCGAUGGCAUUUAGAAAAGCAUUUGGGAAAGCUGGAGAUUUAGCUCAGUAGCACCUCACCUGCCUGGCAAGCGCAAGGUCCUGAGUUUGAUCCCCGGUACCAAAAAAAGAAAAGCAUUGGGGGCUGGCAGGUGAGGAGGGCUCGGAUCUUCUGGCAGGGCAGGGAGCGGUGCUGGUGCUGGUGCUGGUUCUGGGUGCAUCGCUCACACGUUUGCCAGAGGAGUCUGAUCUUUGAAGACCAUGAAACCUUUCCUCCCUUGAAAACUUACCCACUGUCCCCCUUGGCAGUGUACUCUGGC